This 88-nucleotide non-coding RNA is filed under the name Bilophila wadsworthia 3_1_6. Its description in RNAcentral is "sRNA-Xcc1". It matches the Rfam family "sRNA-Xcc1". Lineage: Bacteria; Pseudomonadati; Thermodesulfobacteriota; Desulfovibrionia; Desulfovibrionales; Desulfovibrionaceae. The record is from Rfam by way of RNAcentral.
UGCCGGGUUGAUAGCUCCUAAUACAAUACCCUCACGGGGAAUAAGAGCAGCGCUCCAGUUAGCGUAGUUGAGACCCGGCUUUUCUCAU